AGAGUUUGAUCCUGGCUCAGGACUAACGCUGGCGGCAUGCCUCAUACAUGCAAGUUGAAUGGAGUCUAUUUAGUUUGUUUUAUAGACUUAGUGGUGCAUGGGUGAGUAACGCGUAGAUGACCUGCCCCGGAGCCUGGGAUAACACUCCGAAAGGAGUGUUAAUACCGGAUACGCUCGAGAGAACUUUGUGGUUCUUUCGAGGGAAGGGGGCCUCUGAUUCAAGCUCCUGCUCUGGGAUGGGUCUGCGUCCUAUUAGUUUGUUGGUAGGGUAAUGGUUUACCAAGGUGAUGAUGGGUAACCGGCUUGAGAGAGUGGUCGGUUACACUGGAAUUGAGAUAUGGUUUAGAUUCCUACGGGAGGCAGCAGUAGGGAAUUUUCCGCAAUGGGCGAAAGCCUGACGGAGCGAUGCCGCGUGAGCGAUGAAGGCCUUCGGGUUGUAAAGCUCUGUCAAGAGGGAAGAAAGGCGAUUACUUUAAUAUAGUAGUCGUUUGACGGUACCUCUGGAGGAAGCCCCGGUUAAUUACGUGCCAGUAGUUGUGGUAAUACGUAAGGGGCAAGCGUUGUCCGGAUUCACUGGGCGUAAAGGGCACGUAGGCGGGCGUACAAGUCAGAGGUGAAAGUUUUGAGUUUAAUUUGGGAAUUGUUUUUGAAAUUGUAUGUCUUGAGUACUGCAGGGGAAAGUGGAAUUUAUGGUGUAGUGGUGAAAUGUGUAGAUAUUAUGGAGAAUAUUUAUGGUGAAGGUAGCUUUCUGGGCAGAUACUGACGCUGAGGUGCGAAAGCUAGGGGAGUGAAUAGGAUUAGAUAUCCUGGUAGUCCUAGCUGUAAAUGGUGAGUACUAGGUGUCGGGGUGUAAAUCCCGGUGCCGGCGUAAAUGUAUUAAGUACUCCGCCUGGGGACUACGGCCGUAAGGCUAGAACUCAAAGGAAUUGACGGGGGCCCGCACAAGCGGUGGAGCAUGUGGUUUAAUUUGAUAUUAUGUGAAAAAUUUUACCUGGGCUUGAUAUCUCCGGCUAUUUUAUGAAAAUAGGGGUAGGGAGUGAUCCCUUUGGGAGAUAGGUGGUGCAUGGCUGUCGUCAGCUCGUGUUGUGAGAUGUUGGGUUAAGUCUCGCAACGAGCGCAACCCCUAUUGUUAGUUGUUAGUAUUAAGUUGGGGAUUUUAAUGAGAUUGUUUGUUAUAAGUGGGAGGAAGGUGGGGACGACGUUAAGUCAUUAUGCCCCUUACGUCCAGGGUUACACACGUGCUACAAUGGCUGGUAUAGAGAGUUGUAAUAUUGUAAGGUGGAGUUAAUUUUCAAAGCCAGCCCAAGUUCAGAUUGGGGAUUGUAAUUUAUCCCCAUGAAGGCGGAAUCGCUAGUAAUCGCGGAUUAGUAUGUUGUGGUGAAUACGUUCCCGGGCCUUGUACACACCGCCCGUCACACCACCCGAGUCGAGUGCACCCGAAG
This 1442-nucleotide ribosomal RNA is filed under the name metagenome. Its description in RNAcentral is "bacterial SSU rRNA". It matches the Rfam family "Bacterial small subunit ribosomal RNA". The record is from RNAcentral.